UUAUUUUUAAAAAGGAGUCCAAGUUUUCACUUAACCCCUCCAAACCUUUCAUCUUAACAAUAAAAAUAUAGCCAAACAGGCCCUUAACACCAAACGACCGUCUUGAAGAACAAACAGCACAAAAACGACUGUUCAUCAUCUUCUUCGUACAACAAACGAGCCCUAAGCAUAACCCCACGCUCUAAAUUCACGGGAACCCAACUGUAUUUGCCCUUUUCUUUUGGAUUGUUUCGUGUCAUCAUCUCACAGAACGGUAAUAUGCUGACCCAUUUCUGUUCUUCAAAUGGUAUUUUUUUUUCUUCAUUUUUCGUACAAAGAUUCGGAUUUCAAAGCAAAUAGAAACGAAUUUCAAGUUUCAAAUCCGUCCCACAUCAAAUUUGAACAUCUUAAACCCUAGAACUGGCCUUCUAUAAAUAGAAGACCAUUUUUUCAUUCUAAAAAGGAGAAAAAACAAUGGCUUUGGGACCAAAAAUCCUAAUUCUCAUACCAUUAAAUGGGUUUUUAUAACCCUAAGAGUGAGAACACUCAAUUUUGAGGACGUUCUCACUGAAGUAUAAUUUUUGGAAAUCGUUUCCGCUUGUCGGAAUCGAUUUGGGUGGAAAGGUUGUUCGUUGAUUCUCGUCGAGAAAAGAAAGCUAGCUAGAGGGUGUGAUGGGGUUGAGCAAAACUGAAGUGAACUUGAAGAGGUUACUUGUAACUGCACCACAACAGCAAAAUCAAGCAAAGCUUAUACAUUGGUUUGAUGGCUAUAUGUGUUUGGAUUUUCUCUCUCUUCCUCUUGCUAAAUUGUGCUAUUUAAUGGAGCUCAUAUAAUCUGUGUGGAGGUGAGCAUUUAAAAGAACACCUUUUUUGUGUUUUGGAAGCUUUGACUAUUUGUGCAGCUUCAAGUAAACUAGUAGCUCUGUUGAUUCACCAACAGACUGAAGGGCAACGAGGAUUUCCAUUGUCUGAUCCCUGUACGGUUUCAUCCUUAAAGAAGGCUGUGUAUCUCCAUCCUACUUUUGGGGGUUAAUAUCAGGCAAAGCUACUGAGAUUAAGUGGGUCUUUCCUAAAGUAAUUUUAUAUGGACUGUUUGCAAAUAGGUGAACCAGUGUGUCUUUGACGGAGAGAGAGGCUCAUGGACAACUCUAAAAUGUACUCUCCUAGUUUAGUUUAUUGUUGGGUAAAACUGUAAUGGAAUGAUAGUGUUCUACCGGUUUAGUAUUGGGACUUUAGUUCACUGCUAUAUAGUAUUUUCGUUCUCUAAGGAUACAUCUUUUUGGACUUCACAUGCAAAUUUGUAUACAACGUUGCACCCACUAGCAUGCCUUCAACACAUUUACCUGUCCAAUUAUUGUUCGGAGAAAAACUACUUUUUCUGACCACGACAUGAAUACAUCCUUUAAGUUGGGAAAUGGAAGCAACAUCAAAUUCUGAAGGAUAAAUGGUUAGAGGGGACGGUCCUAGUGAAUGAGUUUCCAGUUCUGUAUCAACUAGCCACUGCUAAAUACUCCACAAUCUCUCAAAACUGGCAAAACAAUAUCUGGGAUAUUCAGUUUAGAAGAAAUUUUCAAGAUUGGGAAAUUCCACAGUUGAUGAAUCUUUUGGCUAAACUAGAGGGAUAUUCAGUUAAUGAAAACAUGACCGACACCAUUAAAUGGAAGGAUCGCCUCUAUUCAGUCAAAGCAGGGUACUCUCAAUUGUGCUCCACUAAUGAAAUCAUAGACAAAUGGCCCUGGAAGUACAUCUGGAAACAAGGCUCCCCCCAAAGAUCAUUUGUUUCAGUUGGUUAGCCCUCAAUGAAGUUUGUUUGACCCAGGACAACCUCAACAGAAGAAGAAUACGUAUUGUCAAUAGAUGCCCCAUGUGUCAACAACAACUAGAGUCCAACAUACACCUUUUGCUACACUGCCCAGUUGCAGCAGACAUAUGGUCCAUGUUCCUCAGUAUUUUUGGUCUAAGUUGGUUUAUGCCUCAAAGUACUAAAGAAGCUUAUGAAUGCUGGUCUGGAUGGAAAGUUGAUAAAGCCAUCAAGAAAGUCUGGCAAAUGAUACCUGCCUGUAUAUUUUGGUGUGUUUGGACGGAAAGGAAUCGUAGAUGUUUUGAUGGGUUAUCAACUCCCACCUUCACUCUUAAAGCUAGAUGUUUUUUAUGGUUAUAUGUUGGCUUAAAUUAACCCCUGUAGACUGUCCUAUUACUUUCCUGGAUUUUGUCAGCUCAUUUGCUCUA
RNA transcript from Lycium barbarum (goji berry), 2208 nucleotides. RefSeq lists it as uncharacterized. The transcript is spliced from 3 exons. The record is from RefSeq and is a predicted model, not a curated record. NCBI's taxonomy places the organism in Eukaryota, Viridiplantae, Streptophyta, Magnoliopsida, Solanales, Solanaceae.